RNAcentral lists this ribosomal RNA (154 nucleotides) under Oenococcus oeni. Its description in RNAcentral is "partial 23S ribosomal RNA". It matches the Rfam family "Bacterial large subunit ribosomal RNA", at positions 2771 to 2925 of the family's 2925-position model. Lineage: Bacteria; Bacillati; Bacillota; Bacilli; Lactobacillales; Lactobacillaceae. The record is from RNAcentral.
CUGAAAGCAUCUAAGUGAGAAACUAACCUCGAGAUGAGAUUUCCCAUUCGUCAGAAGUAAGACCCCUGAGAGACGAUCAGGUAGAUAGGCUAGAAGUGGAAGUGUAGUGAUGCAUGGAGCGGACUAGUACUAAUAGGUCGAGGACUUAACCAAG